RNAcentral lists this ribosomal RNA (253 nucleotides) under uncultured bacterium. RNAcentral's name for it is "partial 16S ribosomal RNA". It matches the Rfam family "Bacterial small subunit ribosomal RNA", at positions 524 to 776 of the family's 1533-position model. The record is from RNAcentral.
UACAGAGGUCUCAAGCGUUGUUCGGAUUCAUUGGGCGUAAAGGGUGCGUAGGUGGCGAGGUAAGUCGGCUGUGAAAUCUCAGGGCUCAACCCUGAAACUGCAUUCGAUACUGCCUUGCUCGAGGACUGGAGAGGAGAUUGGAAUUCACGGUGUAGCAGUGAAAUGCGUAGAUAUCGUGAGGAAGACCAGUGGCGAAGGCGGAUCUCUGGACAGUUCCUGACACUGAGGCACGAAGGCCAGGGGAGCAAACGGG